UGAACGCUGGCGGCGUGCCUCAUACAUGCACGUCGAGCGAACGGACGAGAAGCUUGCUUUUCUGAUGUUAGCGGCGGACGGGUGAGUAACACGUGGAUAACCUACCUAUAAGACUGGGAUAACUUCGGGAAACCGGAGCUAAUACCGGAUAAUAUUUUGAACCGCAUGGUUCAAAAGUGAAAGACGGUCUUGCUGUCACUUAUAGAUGGAUCCGCGCUGCAUUAGCUAGUUGGUAAGGUAACGGCUUACCAAGGCAACGAUGCAUAGCCGACCUGAGAGGGUGAUCGGCCACACUGGAACUGAGACACGGUCCAGACUCCUACGGGAGGCAGCAGUAGGGAAUCUUCCGCAAUGGGCGAAAGCCUGACGGAGCAACGCCGCGUGAGUGAUGAAGGUCUUCGGAUCGUAAAACUCUGUUAUUAGGGAAGAACAUAUGUGUAAGUAACUGUGCACAUCUUGACGGUACCUAAUCAGAAAGCCACGGCUAACUACGU
Molecule: ribosomal RNA, 494 nt
Filed under: uncultured bacterium
Lineage: Bacteria
Description: partial 16S ribosomal RNA
Rfam family: Bacterial small subunit ribosomal RNA
Source: RNAcentral